UAAUAAGUGUUUUAUGGCACUUUAAAAUCCAUAUCCACCUUGUGUGCAAUGUCGGCCUGAUCACAUCCAGCAAUGGGGUGUGUGAAAGGUUUCAUUAUCCACAUCAAAUGGUUUAUCUUUUAGUCUACAUUCUUUGAGUAUAAAAACAACUCAAAUA
This 157-nucleotide unclassified non-coding RNA is filed under the name uncultured fungus. Its description in RNAcentral is "sequence contains ITS1". The record is from RNAcentral. Lineage: Eukaryota; Fungi.